RNAcentral lists this ribosomal RNA (399 nucleotides) under uncultured Escherichia sp. RNAcentral describes it as "bacterial SSU rRNA". It matches the Rfam family "Bacterial small subunit ribosomal RNA", at positions 30 to 423 of the family's 1533-position model. The record is from RNAcentral. Lineage: Bacteria; Pseudomonadati; Pseudomonadota; Gammaproteobacteria; Enterobacterales; Enterobacteriaceae.
AUUGAACGCUGGCGGCAGGCCUAACACAUGCAAGUCGAACGGUAGCAGGAAGCAGCUUGCUGCUUCGCUGACGAGUGGCGGACGGGUGAGUAAUGUCUGGGAAGCUGCCUGAUGGAGGGGGAUAACUACUGGAAACGGUAGCUAAUACCGCAUAAUGUCGCAAGACCAAAGAGGGGGACCUUCGGGCCUCUUGCCAUCGGAUGUGCCCAGAUGGGAUUAGCUUGUUGGUGGGGUAACGGCUCACCAAGGCGACGAUCCCUAGCUGGUCUGAGAGGAUGACCAGCCACACUGGAACUGAGACACGGUCCAGACUCCUACGGGAGGCAGCAGUGGGGAAUAUUGCACAAUGGGCGCAAGCCUGAUGCAGCCAUGCCGCGUGUAUGAAGAAGGCCUACGGGU